GUAAGUUUUACAAGUGGGGAGAGUUCUCAUUCAUUUUUGGUCACAGAGCUGCGAGAACGUGUUCAAGAGCUACAGUCAGCCGUAUCCUCUACCAUGUAGAAUGUCCGAGAGAAUGAAAAAGACAAAAGCUGAAGGGAAGAAGAGGAAGAGAACCAUAUCAGCAGACAGAGGUGGAAAAAAGAAGCCACGGAAAGAGGUUGGUGGUGGGAUGCUCAUGUGUGCUGUCAGGCUCUUGACGCUGCAAGGACCAGCGCCUCACUCAGGUCGCCUUCGGGAAAAGUGCAAGGACACAUGUGGGUUGCUGUGAAGAGCCAAUAAGACAAUGCCCGUGAAACUCUUAGCCUACCUCCCGGCACAGAUAAGUGCUCUUUGAAUGCUAGUUGCCAUGGCUGUGUCAUCAUCAUCAUCAUCAUUGUUUUCAUUAUGAUACUUUCAAGGUGGAGCCUGACUCCCCUGCCCUUGAGUGUGGGCUGAACGGAGUGGCUCCCUUCUAAUGAGAGAAUUCGGCGGAAGUGAUGGUUUGUGACUUCCAAGACCAGGUCAUAAAAGACAUUGCACUUCCUCCUUGUCCUCCCUGGUGAACUGUGGAUUGCUCGCUCUGGGGGAAGCUGGCUGCUAUGUCAUAAGAUCACUCAAACAGCCCUAUGGAGAGGACCUCAUGGCAAGGAACUGUGGAGUCCUGCCAUCCAUCAACAAAGCACUGGGGCCCUCCGGCAAGUAACCACUGAGUGAGCCAAAUCGGGAGUGAAUCUUCCGGCCCCAGUCAAUCCUCAAAAUGAUUACAGCCCCAGUUGACAUCUUGACGCCUCCUCACGAGAAACCCUGAGCCGGAGCCAUCCUCCUAAACUGCUUCCACAUUCCUGACCCUCAGAAACUG
This 877-nucleotide long non-coding RNA is filed under the name Equus caballus (horse). RNAcentral describes it as "lncRNA (ENSECAG00000028128.3)". The record is from RNAcentral. Lineage: Eukaryota; Metazoa; Chordata; Mammalia; Perissodactyla; Equidae.